Molecule: ribosomal RNA, 229 nt
Filed under: uncultured bacterium
Lineage: Bacteria
Description: partial 16S ribosomal RNA
Rfam family: Bacterial small subunit ribosomal RNA
Source: RNAcentral
CGUGCAGGCGUUUCUGUAAGUGAAUUGUGAAAUCCCAGAGCUCAACUCUGGAACUGCAGUUCAUACUGCGGAAAUCGAGGUCAUGAGAGGAAAAUAGAAUUCCCGGUGUAGCGGUGAAAUGCGUAGAUAUCGGGAGGAAUACCAAUGGCGAAGGCAGUUUUCUGGCAUGAAUCUGACGCUCAUACACGAAGGCUAGGGGAGCAAACAGGAUUAGAUACCCUGGUAGUCC